AGGAUGAACGCUGGCGGCGUGCUUAACACAUGCAAGUCGAACGGUGAAGUGAGGAGCUUGCUCUUUGCGGAUCAGUGGCGAACGGGUGAGUAACACGUGACUAACCUACCCUUGAGUGGGGGAUAACCUAGAGAAAUCUGGGCUAAUACCGCAUAAUACCUUCGGGUCAAAGGAGCAAUUCGCUUAAGGAGGGGGUCGCGGCCGAUUAGUUAGUUGGCGGGGUAAUGGCCCACCAAGACUAUGAUCGGUA
This 250-nucleotide ribosomal RNA is filed under the name uncultured bacterium. Its description in RNAcentral is "partial small subunit ribosomal RNA". It matches the Rfam family "Bacterial small subunit ribosomal RNA", at positions 26 to 285 of the family's 1533-position model. The record is from RNAcentral.